Molecule: long non-coding RNA, 2851 nt
Filed under: Phocoena sinus (vaquita)
Lineage: Eukaryota; Metazoa; Chordata; Mammalia; Artiodactyla; Phocoenidae
Description: lncRNA (ENSPSNG00000001373.1)
Source: RNAcentral
GGUACUGAGGAGGUACAAGCGGGGAAAGAUGGUAAUUCUGUGUCAUAAUCCCUUGGGUCCAUCCCAGGACCUAAGGGAAAGUGUAAGGGAAGAUUUGAUGUGAGGGGGUGGGGAGGUGGGCAGAAGUCUGGGGGAGGAACUGGCAAAGGAGGUUCUCAGUCAAUAAAAGAAAAAAACAGACCAAAGUUCUUUUAGGUUGGAAAAAAGCACAUGGUGGUGGAGUUGGGAGUGUGGAGGGAACUGGGAAAUUAGUCAAAUUUUCUGUUGAGUUGAAUUAAGGUAGAAAUUUAGUGUUGGAUAAAUUUUUCCUCUUGAAGGAUCUGGAAAGACAAGGCAGUAACGUGUGCUUAUGGAUGCUUAUUAGGAGGGGGCUGGCUUAAAUCAGUUUAGUGAGAUGGGAAAGGGAGAAACUUAAAAGGGGAAUCUUCUUCCUCUUGAGUUUGAUUUCCUUCUAAACAGCUAUCUGUCAUCCCUUCUAGUUCGAUAGGAGAUUGCCAAUUGCCCCCUAUCUUUUUCUCAUCCUUUUUGAGGGCUGAGCUAAGAAGGUUGUGAUUUUUUUUUUAAGACUUUAAUUUUAUUAAAAAACAACGACAACAACAAAAGUUCCCUCUGGGGAAGGCAAGAGAAUGAUGAGAAGAGCAGCUGUGUGUGUUGAAUUUUCUCCAGGUGAAUUGGUACAGAGGUGAUCUUUUUUUAACUACUAGCAAUAACCACAUAUUGGGGUUUGAGUGCGCCUUGGGAGAGGGGUGGGAGGAGGACAGACUUUUGGCCAGACUGUUUCAAACAAAACCAAAAACCUAAAUAGAGCACUACCAUCCUCUGCUGCUGUGUUUCUGUAGAAAGCAACUUAUUUUUUGGAAUUUUUUUUUUUUUUAAAGAAAAGAAACAAAAAGACCCCAGCAAGCAAAAACAUUUUAAAAAAUAUUUUUUUUUCCUCCUAUUUAAGUGAUUCUUUCUCCUUCCUCUCUACUUUUGGAGAAUGAACUUAACGUCCCGGCUUCUUUUGUUAAGCCAUAGCUGACCUUAAUCUGUGGUUAGUUUAUUAAAAUAAUAAAAAUACUUUGUAAGAAGAGAUAUUUUUGAUAAUAGGACUGAUGUUGAAACUUGGGGUAGGGGUUAGGGGCAAUUUAUAAAAAGGUAGAGAAAUAUAUUUUAGUGAACUAUAACCACAGAUCACAGAUUACUCCCAAUGAGCUGAUCUGUCUUUGGGUUCCCCCUCCCCCCCCGCUGCCCCCCCCAUCCUUUUCCCCAGAGGGUGGGAGUGGGUCUGUGGACACAGUAGCGGGGAGCUCCUUUGCAUUUUGCACAAAGCACAAGUCUGGACAGCCUAUGCUCUGGCCAGCACCAUUUCUAAGAGCUUUAAACUGGAGGACCUAUCCUGGGCCAAUUUUCCCUUUUCUUUAAAUUUUUUUUUUCUGGGGGGAAAAAAAAUCAACUAUGCAAUUGUAUACACUCCUGGGUGCAUAUGAGGAAGGGGAAUAAGUGUACUUAAGUGUCCAGAGUGUUAAUUGGGGCUAUUUUUCUGUAUUUGGAUUUCUCUUUUGAGGUAUGUACUCAUAAACCAUCCUGUGGAAUGUAAUCCCCACAUUUGAUCCAAGGCAGACAUGGGCUGGGUAUGUGUGUUAGGGGGACUCGUAUUUGCCCUGUGUUGCUUCUGCCCAAUCAGGAAAGUUGUCAUCCCAUCUCCCCCUUGGUAACAAAGCCAGCCAAGACUGUCCUAUUCAUUGGAACUGCUCACAAUUUAGAAAGUUUCCUUUCUCCUCAACAAACUUGAAAAGUCACUUAUUUUCUAAAUCUGAUUGUUGACUUAAUAAUUUCCAUAGCUGUUAAUUCUUAGGCUUUUAUUUGAAAACAAACCUGGUGUUAAGGAAGCAAUGAGAUGAGGUCAAAGGAGAUAGGUUCCAAAGGAGGGUGGAGGGUAUGUAUAUAUUUCUGGGCAGGACUGGGACUAGUGUGAGACAAGCACGCCCCUCAGGUUCAAAACUUAAGGAGAUACCAAAAACUUAGUAAUCAAGAUAAAUACUGUUUUAAUGCAAUAUUUUAAAAAAUUAAUGCAAAAAAUCCAUGAUAAGCAAAAUAUCAGAAUCUUAAAUAAGACAGAAUCCAACAGGACUGGGGUUAGAGUGAGGGUAGGAACGCUGAAUUGAGCAAGUACGGGUUGAAUCCUGUCUUUAUUUAAAAUUUUGAUACUUUAGUCAUUGUGGAUUUUUUUACAUUAGUUUCGAUUUUCAAAAUAUACUGUGUUAACAUAGUAUCUUGGUUACUGGGUUUUGGGGCACUCCUUAAAUUUUGUGCCCAAAGUGAGUGCCUUGCUCACCUUACCCUGUUUCCGGGGUUAGAACAACAUUGGUGAGACCACCACCUUAUGAACUUCGUCCCCUAACAUGCACCCAAACAACAGGUGGCUCAAACCCACACCAAGAAUUUGCAUAGCUCACCUAGCUUUCCCAUAGGCAUCCAUCUAUAUCAUAGGAUUUUGGCCUGGACCAAUAGAAAUGGAAACAGACCAGGGACUUUCCCAGAGAAUAAAACCAGGAAAGUUGAUUCUCCACUGGACUGCUGUGUUUGGAUUUGACCUGUUAUUAGAUUCUAGUUAAUACUUUUGUUUUUAAAAACUGAGGACAAAUGAACAAAAAUGGAAACCUUGUGUCAUUUUUGCUUUUGUUCUGAUUUAUAAAUGAAUCGAUCCCAAUUGCUUUUGACUUCUUUUCAAAUAAAAAAGGUGGAAAUUCUCGUGGGUGGCCUAGGGGUGAAUAUGGUAAAAUAGGGCUUUAUUUAGGCCCUCUAGCUUUUUCAUUAAGAAAUACAUUUCUUUUUUUAAUUUGGGAAGGUAACUAUUUAUUGACACAUU